RNAcentral lists this ribosomal RNA (253 nucleotides) under uncultured bacterium. RNAcentral describes it as "partial 16S ribosomal RNA". It matches the Rfam family "Bacterial small subunit ribosomal RNA", at positions 524 to 776 of the family's 1533-position model. The record is from RNAcentral.
GACGUAGGGCGCGAGCGUUGUCCGGAUUUAUUGGGCGUAAAGGGUGCGCAGGCGGCCAAGUGUGUCAGGUGUGAAAGCUCGAGGCUUAACCUCGAAACUGCGCCUGAAACUAUUUGGCUAGAGUACUGGAGAGGGAAGUGGAAUUCACGGUGUAGCAGUGAAAUGCGUAGAUAUCGUGAGGAACACCAAUGGCGAAGGCAACUUCCUGGACAGUUACUGACGCUCAGGCACGAAAGCGUGGGGAGCAAAAGGG